AACGCGCAAUUAACUCCUCUCCUAACUCUCUCUCUCAAAUCACCGCCGCCGCCGCCGCCACCUCCGAUUCCUCCUGGGCACGGCUGUCUCCGGCGCCGCCAUCAACAGGCGAGAGUCGUCCUCACCUCGCUCUACCGAUUCCCCGCCCUAGCCGCUGCUCUACGCCCCCGCUCGCGCUCGCACAGCGGUUAACCCUAGCCUCUCACAGGACAGGAGGGAGAGGAGGUCGUGGGGGAGGAAUGAGAAGAGGACACGGAGCGGCAGAACUGGCAGAGCAGCGGCAAAGCGCAGGUCGCGGCUCACUCCGCUGCUCUGUUGGGGCCAUCAGCUGUCGUGCUUGCGUUGCGCGUGCGCUCAGGUACUACAUCCCAGUUUGUUGGUGACUUUGGGUCUCUGUGCACCUCUGGACCCUGCUAGGUACUGCUCUUGCUAUUUGGUUGACAAGUGUUUCUCCUUGUAAGUGGUAGUGCUGCGUGCCGAUGGUACAUCAAUGAUCUGUUGUUCCAGGUGCUUAGAUUGACGCACCUCUUGGGCAACAACCGCGGUCUUCUGUGGUGUAACGAGCUUCAGGUGUGCCAUCUGGAUCAACUAGCUCCAGCUCCUUGCCUAAUGACCCUCUCCCCCUCUCCGGCGGUAUUACCUAUGCCAUCUAGCACUGUGGGAGGGUCUUCCUCCAGCCCCCUCGUUUCAGUUACUGCAUCGCCAGAGGUAGACACCUUUCCCUUAUGUCUCUGUUCAGGGUCGUACUCCUGUGCCUUCCCUGUCUUCACCUCGGCAUCUAUGGUUGGGUUGGUGCAUCUCGACUUGUACUUAUAUAUUAUUAUUGCAUCAUCUUCUUGACAUGUUUUUCUUGACAGUGGUGUAGCUUAUGAAAUUAAGCCAAAGUCUCAGCGGGUUCCCUUCAAGGAUGGCCUGGCUGACACAGAUGAUGCUCAACUACUUGGGCCAACUGACGGUGAACUGGUUGACUCAACUGGCGAGGGCCUGGCUGGUAGAACACUGGGAUCAACUGUCGGAGCUAUCGUUAGGAAAGACAACCUGCCACAGCUUGAUAUCGUCGCUGAGAAGGCUGGUCCAGCACUGAUUGAUCAGACACCCAAUGCAAAGAGAUCUUUAUUGUUGCCCUGCUCAGAUGCAGAUUUUCGACUAUUGCACACAUUUUCAUAUUUCUCUUUCCCUUGUCUGUUGCCUUCAGGUCUGAGCCAUCCUUGUCCACCACUCUUUCAGGGAGUACGGGCAAGCGGGGUAGGAAGAAGGAGGCCCUUCCCCUAGAAGAAGUAUCUUUUGAUAAUGCAAGCCUUUUGGAAAACAUGGCUCUAAGUAGAUGGUUUCUUAUCAGUGCGCCUGUACUUGCAAUUCCCCUGCCUGAGCUUGGGCUCGCAGGCACUUAUUGUGAAACUUACUUGGUUGCUUCUGAGCGACAGUGGCUGUUAUCAUAGCCAUAUCGCUGUCCAUCCGGACUAUCAGGCUGCAUGGAUCUAGACUGUCUUUUUGUCAGCGCAUAUGUGCACAUUCUGGAGUUCGUGCCUGCAAAAUGAAUGGGCAGGUCAGCCGGCUGCUCUGCGGCGUCGUUCAAAGCGCCUUCCGCCUUCGUGUUUCAGUUUUAAUCACGGCGAUAUCCGUGUGUGGAGGGUGAUAGAGACUGUAUGCCUCGUUUGUUUCCUCUGUAAAUAUGUGGACUGGACGGCAUGUACAAUCUGCUGGCAGCGCCGUUCCGAUGCUCUGUAACCUAGCAACUUAUGUACUCUGGGGCUUGUUUCCAAAUCAAACUGAUGAUUCAAACGUGUUGUCCAUUUCAA
Aegilops tauschii subsp. strangulata is the source of this 1799-nucleotide non-coding RNA. The record is from RefSeq and is a predicted model, not a curated record. NCBI's taxonomy places the organism in Eukaryota, Viridiplantae, Streptophyta, Magnoliopsida, Poales, Poaceae.